Molecule: ribosomal RNA, 115 nt
Organism: Mustela putorius furo (domestic ferret)
Lineage: Eukaryota; Metazoa; Chordata; Mammalia; Carnivora; Mustelidae
Source: Ensembl
GGUCAUUCAGCCCAGCCUCCACACCUGAUCUUUUCUGCUCUUGGAAGCUAAGCAAGUUUGGGCCUGGUUAGUACUUGGAUGGAAGAGCACCUGAGAAAAUUGGACACUAUAAUCU